Ictidomys tridecemlineatus (thirteen-lined ground squirrel) is the source of this 1211-nucleotide non-coding RNA. The record is from RefSeq and is a predicted model, not a curated record. Lineage: Eukaryota; Metazoa; Chordata; Mammalia; Rodentia; Sciuridae.
GAGAACACAGAGAGAAACAGGCAGAUUUGGUACAGAAAAACCUGAGCUUGGAAAAGCUGCCCAGACUUAGCUGAUCCAGGGGCUGCACCAUGAACUGGUGCUUGCUCUGUGUUCUUAACUGGCUGAGGAGAGGUGAGACACAGCCGUCUUGAGGCAACCACACAGAAGCUGCUGUGGAUGCCAGGAGAUCACAGCCAACAUUGCUGCAUUGCCCCAGAAAGUCCCCACCAUGUGGGGUGUACCUAGGAGGACAUGAGUGAAACAGGCACAGCCAAGAUUGUACCCAGGCCGGGGCACAGGGGAACCCAGCCCACUUUUCCUUUGAGUCUGGCAGCUCAUGUGACCAGCUGAAGAGGAUCAGGAAUCUGAGCAGGGCUAGGGAUGGAGUCCAGGACCUUGCACAUGCGAGAUGGCCACUGCGAGGUGAGAAGCGAGGGUUUCAUUGCUGCCGGGUCAUCUCUCUCAUUAACCCUGCGACUUGGUGAGGGAGGCACAGCUGGUCAUUUCAGUUUUUAACAAUAGACGCUGAUAUUGGAUUGCAGUGUGGAAACUGGCUCUUGCCAUCUUUCACUGUUAAUUGGUGGAUUUAACAACGAUGUAUAGAAACAAAACCUCUGGUCUAAAAAAUAGGCUCGGAACACUGGGCUGGUGGCUGAUAUUUUCUUCCUAACCGUGACAUUUUCAGCAGCUGAUGGACGAAGGGUUAGGAAGAGUGAGGCUGUGUUUUAUUUUAGAGAGCCUCCUCUGCUUCUCUCUGGCACCUCCUGUUCUUCAGCGUUCAUAUAAAUAAGGCCACGUAUCCUUGGGAACUCUGCAGGCUGCUCCUCCCACUGGCCCGUGCAGAGCAGAGGGCAGCCAGUGCUCGGUGGUGGAAGACACAGUUCAAUGCAGAGCGUGCUGAACACUUCUCCCGGUGGCUGCAAUUACAUCACUGGGAAUUUAUUAUUUGAGUGAAGAUUCUUUCACCUCUUGAUGCCUUGAGAGAUAUAAACCUCCAACUCAUGACUUUGGGGAAUGAGUCACAUCUCUCCCAUGUUUUGCUCCUUGGAAGGAGAGGUGAGGGCAGCGAUGAAGCUGUAAACACCAUUUCUCUGAUGUUCUAAAAGUGUAGAGAGAGAUUCUUCCGUUUAACGAGCGAUUCUCUGGCACCCAUUUCAUGACAGGUAUAGUUCAGGCAUUGAAGAAAAAAAGAAAAGAAAAGAAAAAAGAGA